CCUACGGGGUGCUGCAGUGGGGAAUAUUGGACAAUGGGCGAAAGCCUGAUCCAGCCAUGCCGCGUGUGUGAAGAAGGCCUUCGGGUUGUAAAGCACUUUCAGUGGGGAAGAAAGCCUUGGGGCUAAUACCCUCGAGGAAGGACAUCACCCACAGAAGAAGCACCGGCUAACUCCGUGCCAGCAGCCGCGGUAAUACGGAGGGUGCGAGCGUUAAUCGGAAUUACUGGGCGUAAAGCGCGCGUAGGCGGUCUGAUAAGCCGGUUGUGAAAGCCCCGGGCUCAACCUGGGAACGGCAUCCGGAACUGUCAGGCUAGAGGGCAGGAGAGGAAGGUAGAAUUCCCGGUGUAGCGGUGAAAUGCGUAGAGAUCGGGAGGAAUACCAGUGGCGAAGGCGGCCUUCUGGACUGACACUGACGCUGAGGUGCGAAAGCGUGGGUAGCAAACAGGAUUAGAUACCCGAGUAGUC
This 465-nucleotide ribosomal RNA is filed under the name Vreelandella stevensii. RNAcentral's name for it is "partial 16S ribosomal RNA". It matches the Rfam family "Bacterial small subunit ribosomal RNA", at positions 338 to 795 of the family's 1533-position model. Lineage: Bacteria; Pseudomonadati; Pseudomonadota; Gammaproteobacteria; Oceanospirillales; Halomonadaceae. The record is from RNAcentral.